CCCAUGGGCUAUGCCAACGCUGCAUAGCCUGUUCCGUUGGUGCCCAGGACAGGACGGUUGUAGGAGGCAGAGGUGGGUGAACCCUGUCCAGACCUGCUGUCCCUGGCAGUGUCCUGUGCACCUGGAGGUGCCCACCAGCCUGCCCUCACAGGGACCUGCAGAGGUGACCCGCUCUUCGGGCAUCUUGAAUCAAGAUUUGCUUUUGUUCACAUCUGCACUGUGGUUUGAAGUCUGGAAGAUACUGAGAGAAGAGCUAUAAGUGUGAAACAGUGACAUGUCCCAGUCUUCAGAGAACAACAUGGUCAAAGAAGCAAGUGACUGCACUCUUAGCCCCUUCCCAUUCCCCCCUUGCUAUUAAACCUGAGGGUCUCAGAAUCCUUGCAUCACUGCCUGGAAGGCAGCAGUGUUGAAGGUGUACAUGAGCUCAAGUCAUAUCCUUUCUCAAGGAGCCCAAGAGAAGUUUCAUCCUAGAGUAUACAAAUGGAAAAUUAAAAACAGACUCAGGCAAAGUUGUUAUUCUCAGAAAAUACUGGUUAAUUGAAACAGAAAUCUUGCGUGGAGUUGUCCCUAUUUCAACAAGGUUUUGCCAGGAAAAGUUUCACAUUUCUAGGUUUAAGUGCCUAGCCAAGCCAGAGAGGUCACACAGGAGGAGCCUGGAACCUGUGAGCCAAGUUACUCAGCUGGGACUGGUGGCACGGAGAAGGAGCCCUAUGGCGAAGUCAUCCUUCUGAAUCAAAGAGAGCAGAGGCUGGAAAAGAGGAGGCUAAUGUUCCAGAGGAGCAACUCUAAUUGAGGGUGAUGUCUUGCUUUUGUGUUUAAAGAAGAAUCGGGAACAGGGAAGGCCGUUAUCCCAAUGUGGUCUUGGUUCAGUCUGGGUGUGGAAUAGGAAUGCUUUCUUAGCAAGUAAUGCAGGAUAGAAGACUAGUUUUCUGACUAGUCCUGAGGAUCAACAUGAAGAUUGUUCAGAUCUUGUGUGCAAGAAGCUACACAGGGCAGGACUGAUUUUCAGAGGAAACAGUGGAGAAGCUAACUUCUUGUAAU
This is a long non-coding RNA of Neopelma chrysocephalum (saffron-crested tyrant-manakin), 1041 nucleotides long. RefSeq lists it as uncharacterized. NCBI's taxonomy places the organism in Eukaryota, Metazoa, Chordata, Aves, Passeriformes, Pipridae. The transcript has 6 exons. The record is from RefSeq and is a predicted model, not a curated record.